Molecule: transfer RNA, 71 nt
Filed under: Asterias amurensis (Northern Pacific seastar)
Lineage: Eukaryota; Metazoa; Echinodermata; Asteroidea; Forcipulatida; Asteriidae
Description: tRNA-Asp
Source: RNAcentral
AAGAAACUAGUUAAACUAAUAACACUGGAUUGUCAGACCGGAGUAACUGGUAAACAAUCCAGUGUUUCUUG